Molecule: ribosomal RNA, 253 nt
Filed under: uncultured bacterium
Lineage: Bacteria
Description: partial 16S ribosomal RNA
Rfam family: Bacterial small subunit ribosomal RNA
Source: RNAcentral
UACAGAGGGGGCAAGCGUUGUUCGGAAUUACUGGGCGUAAAGGGCGCGUAGGCGGCCUUCUAAGUCGAACGUGAAAUCCCCGGGCUCAACCCGGGAACUGCGUCCGAUACUGGAAGGCUUGAAUCCGGGAGAGGGAUGCGGAAUUCCAGGUGUAGCGGUGAAAUGCGUAGAUAUCUGGAGGAACACCAAUGGCGAAGGCAGCUCGCUGGGACGGUACUGACGCUGAGGCGCGAAAGCGUGGGGAGCGAACAGG